Non-coding RNA from Podarcis lilfordi (Lilford's wall lizard), 112 nucleotides. The record is from the annotation of a GenBank genome assembly. NCBI's taxonomy places the organism in Eukaryota, Metazoa, Chordata, Lepidosauria, Squamata, Lacertidae.
AACUAAGUUUGUUCUUGGUAUAAACUUUCAUGUGCAUGCACACUUCUGUUUCAGUGUAUCUGAAGAAGUGUGCAUGCACACGAAAGCUUAUACCAAGAACAAAUUUAGUUGG